RNAcentral lists this ribosomal RNA (230 nucleotides) under Vibrio cholerae. Its description in RNAcentral is "partial 16S ribosomal RNA". It matches the Rfam family "Bacterial small subunit ribosomal RNA", at positions 1 to 226 of the family's 1533-position model. Lineage: Bacteria; Pseudomonadati; Pseudomonadota; Gammaproteobacteria; Vibrionales; Vibrionaceae. The record is from RNAcentral.
UUAAUUGAAGAGUUUGAUCAUGGCUCAGAUUGAACGCUGGCGGCAGGCCUAACACAUGCAAGUCGAGCGGCAGCACAGAGGAACUUGUUCCUUGGGUGGCGAGCGGCGGACGGGUGAGUAAUGCCUGGGAAAUUGCCCGGUAGAGGGGGAUAACCAUUGGAAACGAUGGCUAAUACCGCAUAACCUCGCAAGAGCAAAGCAGGGGACCUUCGGGCCUUGCGCUACCGGAU